RNAcentral lists this long non-coding RNA (553 nucleotides) under Homo sapiens (human). RNAcentral's name for it is "HSALNT0330599". The record is from RNAcentral. Lineage: Eukaryota; Metazoa; Chordata; Mammalia; Primates; Hominidae.
CAGAAUCUCUGGUAGAGAAAACAUGAGCUUUGGAAUCACACAGUACUGGGUUCAAGUUCUAGCAUUUGCAUGUACCAGCUUGAGUGACCAUGGGUGUGCUGUGCUCCCUAGGUCUGAAGGCCUUGUGAAUGACUGACUUCACCCUUCUGCACACUGAUCUUCCUAACAAUGUUCCAAAAGGUGUCUACUGAUUCACGGGAAAGUCUUGACCACUGCCAGGAUGAUACAGUUCUUUGUAGAUCCCACUAUGGCUGAGAUUGACUGAGAAAUCCACAAUGUUGAAAACGAGAACACUAAGCUCCUUCUCUGAGACACUGACUCUGGCCAGUCCAACUUACUCAGAGAUAAGAUGAGACCAAAACACGUAAUGAAUGAACAAGAAAUGAUCCUUUGGAAUUUUAGUUAUUUGAGCAGCUUAGUUUAGAGAAUUCCUUCUUCCUUUUCAGACAAGCAGUUCACACGCCCUAAGUGGAAAACCUGGAACCAGAGUGAAGACUAGAUAAGGCAGCUUUUCUCCUGAGGGAGGGAGGAGGGGGCAUGAUGAGGCCAUGUA